This 599-nucleotide long non-coding RNA is filed under the name Homo sapiens (human). RNAcentral describes it as "HSALNT0293651". Lineage: Eukaryota; Metazoa; Chordata; Mammalia; Primates; Hominidae. The record is from RNAcentral.
GAGCCUCGAUGGCGAGAGGCCCAGGAUGCGCCACCAGGCCGGGCUCACUUCUUUGACGCCGAAUAAACUGACAAAACAAUUAGCUGGCCGGCUGGGGAAGGUGGUGGGUGACUCAAAUGCCAGUCGGCUGCGUGCCCCCGCGCUUAGAUGAGUCUGGGAUUCUGGGCAGUUGGGACUUUCUUUUCAGGAAAGGAGGUGAGAGGUGCCGGGGAAGCCCACACGAGCAGCCACUCUUGGAGAAAUGGGGAAUGGCGCUGUAAAAGCGCAGGCCCUCCUCCUCCUCCUUUCUCCCCAUCACACAAAAAGGAUGGGCCUUGAAAGGGAUGAGUUUAUUAUGCACUUUUAAAUGCCUAUUCAGAAAAGAACAGGAGGCAAAAAUAAAGAUGCUUCCCACCCCACCAAUUCCCUUCCCUCGAAGAAAAAAGGAAAGAGAAAGCAACCCACAAAGAAUGGAAACCGAUCCUAGACAUCUGUGAAACGUAUCUUAAAAAUUCCACUACUGAGUUGGGAAAAGCAGAGAGUUCAUGUUUACUUCAUUGGCGAAGUCCAGUUGAAUCUACUUAACUCGACCAGCUUUAAUCCAAUCUAAUAAACCAUGA